UUCUAAGCUACUCUAGAUCGUGCAUGUCUAGCGCGUGCAGAUUCGCAUGUCGGUAACUGACCUAGCGGCGGACGGGUGAGUAAUGCUUAGGAAUCUGCCUAUUAGUGGGGGACAACAUUCCGAAAGGGAUGCUAAUACCGCAUACGCCCUACGGGGGAAAGCAGGGGAUCUUCGGACCUUGCGCUAAUAGAUGAGCCUAAGUCGGAUUAGCUAGUUGGUGGGGUAAAGGCCUACCAAGGCGACGAUCUGUAGCGGGUCUGAGAGGAUGAUCCGCCACACUGGGACUGAGACACGGCCCAGACUCCUACGGGAGGCAGCAGUGGGGAAUAUUGGACAAUGGGCGGAAGCCUGAUCCAGCCAUGCCGCGUGUGUGAAGAAGGCCUUUUGGUUGUAAAGCACUUUAAGCGAGGAGGAGGCUCUUAAGGUUAAUACCCUUGAUGAGUGGACGUUACUCGCAGAAUAAGCACCGGCUAACUCUGUGCCAGCAGCCGCGGUAAUACAGAGGGUGCGAGCGUUAAUCGGAUUUACUGGGCGUAAAGCGUGCGUAGGCGGCUGAUUAAGUCGGAUGUGAAAUCCCUGAGCUUAACUUAGGAAUUGCAUUCGAUACUGGUCAGCUAGAGUAUGGGAGAGGAUGGUAGAAUUCCAGGUGUAGCGGUGAAAUGCGUAGAGAUCUGGAGGAAUACCGAUGGGGAAGGCAGCCAUCUGGCCUCAUACUUGACGCUGAGGUACGAAAGCAUGGGGAGCAAACAGGAUUAGAUACCCCUGGUAGUCCCAUGCCCGUAAACGACGCCCACUAGMCGCUAGCGGCCUUUGAGGUUUUUAAGUGGCGGCAGUUUAUCGCGAAAAGAACGACAGUCCCGGGGGAAUACGCCCCGC
This 876-nucleotide ribosomal RNA is filed under the name Acinetobacter sp. LGB22. RNAcentral describes it as "bacterial SSU rRNA". It matches the Rfam family "Bacterial small subunit ribosomal RNA". Lineage: Bacteria; Pseudomonadati; Pseudomonadota; Gammaproteobacteria; Moraxellales; Moraxellaceae. The record is from RNAcentral.